UUAACAUUUAAAAAAAAAAGACCCUCAGGCUAGAUCUUAAAUCUCUCCCCCAUCCCCAAGAUUGAACUUAGCAUGAUAACUGCCCAGCUAUGAAAAGUAUGACUAUCAAGCCAGGGUGGAAAGGCCAGCCUAGGAUUUUGGCUUCUGUUGGCCUGAGUAGGGAGCCCUAGCUGCCCAUAGGGUUCAAUGAGCAGACUUUCAUACCCACUGUUAUUUUGAUAGUCUGGGCUUUUCUUCUUUUCACUUCUGUAUAAAACAAGCUCAGAGAUAAGAACUUCACCUUAGUGUUUUAGUUGUCUAUUUCAAACCAAGACAUUUAUAAAAUGUAUUUUGGAAAAAACAAAAGAGUCACCUCUGUUGUUCCUGGGCUUCAAGUUAGAGGGUCCAGAAUUAGCAACCUGGGGUGGGGGGUAGGGGGUGUGUAGCAGAAAGAACAAGGCGAGAGCUGACCUUUAGAUGCAAACUGAGAGGAAAAGUGACAGUACAUCUAUGAAGCCAGAGGCAAAUAUUUACCUUUUAUAAAAACCAAGUCUUGACUAUGUAAGAUCAUUUGUAAAAAAAAAAAAAAAAAAAAAA
RNAcentral lists this long non-coding RNA (576 nucleotides) under Rattus norvegicus (Norway rat). RNAcentral's name for it is "long non-coding RNA NONRATT014880". The record is from RNAcentral. Lineage: Eukaryota; Metazoa; Chordata; Mammalia; Rodentia; Muridae.